UUGGAUGUGGUGAGUGUGAACAUCAAUAUCCAAGUGUUGAAAAAUAGAUGUGAGGAGUAGACCAUAACCCAAACAAUUGUUGUGAUAACAAAACUUAAAUGAUGUAAGUAGUAAAUAUGGAAAAUUUAAGGCAUAUUUUGAGUUAAAAUACACUUCAUCAGUUCCAAGUCAAAAGGAUGUAACAGUUUAUCAUCUCUAACAUGCAUAACAUUUUGUCUGAACAUUUUUCUGAGAAAUUGACAUUAAGUAGUCAGAAAAUCAAGACCAAUCUUUGAUGGAAAAUCAAAUAGAUGAGUAGGUACCAGUUGGUCUGUAACGGUGGCUAAAUUAUGCUUGAAAGUGAUUCAUUGACUAGUGGAUGUGCCUAUUGGAUGAGUGUAAGCAUUUGUUUUUGAAAGUUCUAGCAUGUUGUUUCCUAGAUGUAAUGCAUGAAAAAGAAGUAAUUCAUCAAUGACAUAAGAUUGUCCUUCUAAGAUAGUACAAAUACCAGUUAAGGUACCAGUUGAAUCUCGAAUAAAAUUCAUAUGAUAAUAAAAUUCAACAAUAAGAGCUGGAUAAAUUUGUUUAUCAGUGAAAGUAAUUAAACACUCCCAUCCCACAUUUUUGAUUUUUUUAAAUAUGUGAGGAAAGUUGUUAAAGGAAGUUAUUAUGCUUGGUGUGAGACUGUGUCUUAUGUGCCUAUACUUGACUUAUGCUGAGGAAGUAACUAGUUGAGGUGCAUAAGUGUCAGGAUGUAACUCAGAUAAAAGUGGGAGUUUCCUUUGUUUAGAAGAGUAAACAGGGUCCAUUUAUGACAACAAGUGAUGUAAACAGAAAGAGGAUAGAAACAGUUACCAGGUGAUGAACGAAAAUAAACCAUGUAUGCAGUAAACAUGUGGAGUUUCCAUUUAUAGAAGGAUACUGUGACAGAUAGGGCAAGAAUUAAACAAAGGGAUGUAAGCAUUUAUUUAUCUAACAUAGACAAUUCAGAUAUAAGGACCAAGGAAAAUACAUAUCUGCAGAAAACAUUGAGUAGCCAUAGUUGGUGUCUAAUUAAUUUAAUGUUUUGCAAAAAAAAUCUUUUUAUUUAAGAAAAAAUCAAGAGAGAGAUAGAGACCAGUCAUAUACAGUAAAUAUUACCAUAUAUUUUAAAAGAAUAUGUUUUGAAAAAUAGAGAGAUUAAUUCGAACAUGUCUAAUCAGUAAGAGCAACUCCAGCAGGCCGGAGUUGCCAAAUUCGUAGACUAUAUUUGUGACGCCCCCAAAAUAGGUAUACAUCACCCAUCUUGAGUCGCCAAAUACAUGGUACAAAAAAUACAAAUACAACUUAAUAAUACAACUAUCGUGUAAAAUACGACAAAACAUAAACUGAGAGUUUUAAUAAGAAUAUUGUCAUCUAGACAAUAUCCACACUCAAUCGAGUCCUCAUUACAUUUAUUGUCACACUAUUUAAUAGAAUAGUGAGGACUACUAAUGCUAUCAUCUGGACAGUCACUCCUUUCCCAGACUCGUCCCAGCUAUAUUCUCAUUUCCUGAAGAGAACAGUGAAAGAAAAGGGUAAGCUCAACUAGCCCAGUAAGAAAUAUCGUGACUAAGAUAAUGCAGAAUAAAUUAUCAUUAGUCUUCAACAAUGUUAAACUAAUAAAAUAUAAUAGACAUCAAGUUUAAUUGCAGUGGAACAAGCAAUCCAUUAGAAGAGUCAAGUAGAGAAUAAAAUCUAUUAUCUACUAUCAUUUAAAAAGUUUUCAUCAAUUUUUAUCACUGAAACUCAGCUCAACAAAUAAACCACAUCAUCGAGUCAUCCCUGCACUACGGGCCAAGGAUAUUCAUUAAAUAAUCCAUGGUCAUGACUAUACCGAAUAAUCCCUGGUCAUAAUCAUACCAAAAACUGUCCAUCAAUGCACUACAGGCUACUGAGGACUUUUACCACCUCAUUUAUAACAUUACAGGUCAUGAUUAUACCGAAUGAUCCCUGGUCAUAAUCAUACAAAGUUCAUCUAUGCACGUAAGCCAAAGAUGACUUUUAUCAUAAUAUAAGCAUGACGAUGAUGACAAUGACAUAAUAAUUCAAUAAAACAAGUUCAAGAAUAAAUUUUAAAAAUUUAUAAGUUAAUUUAUCCUGAACUCAAUAAUGUCCAAAUUAUCAACAUGAUACUUCUUUGUGGAGUAAAAAUUCAAGAAUGUUCAGAAAAAUAUUUUCAUUAAAAGAUACUAGAUGAAGCGCAAAUAUCAAAGAUAUUUCACUAAUUUUAUGGAGUAUAGAAGUCAAAGCUUUAACCAACUAAGUAUAAGAGAAUAUAUAAAACUACAAAUGGAUUUUCGGCCGCCACGCGGUACUCCACUUAGACAGAUCAUUUCCAUAAUUUAAUAAGGAGUGAAUACAAAGGUUCAUUCACCAUGCAUGUGAUAAUCCACAUAGACAGGUUAUUCCAACAGAAUGAUAAAGAAUGGAAUAACAGAAGAAAUAAUCAUGCAUGCGAUAAACCGCACAGACAGGUUAUUCCAACAUAAUAAUAAAGAAUGAAACUAGGUCAUGCGUAAACAUACUGACAGGAUAUUCCGACAGAAUAAUAAAUAAUGGAACCAGGUCCGGCGUAAACGCACAGACAGGAUAUUUCGACAGAAUAAUAAAUGAUGGAACUAGGUCCGGCGUAAACGCACAGACAGGAUAUUUCGACAGAGUAAUAAAGAACGGAAUAAUAGAAGAAUUUCACCAUGUAUACGGUACUUCGCAUAAACAGGUUAUUCCAACAUAAUAAUGAAGAAUGGAAUAACAGAAUAAUUUCACCAUGUAUGCGGUACUUUGCAUAAAUAGGUUAUUCCAACAGAAUAAUAUGGGAUGGAAUAACAAUAGCUCUCUUCAUGAAUACGAAAGAAAUAAUACCCCUUACCUCAGAAGAAACUGGAUACUGGAAUAGUGACGUAGCAGGCUUCUCUUCUUCUUUCUCUUUAUAGAUUUUCCCUCUAUAGCUUCUCUCUAUAAUUUCUCUCUAUAAUAAUUGUUCUAUAGCUUUAGUGAAUUGGAGAGAAAUGAAGGAAGAAUGAGCUUCUAUUUAUAGAAAAAUAUAGUUUUGAUAAUUGCACGUUUUGGGGCUCGAAAAAUUACAGUACAAUACCUCCAACUUUUCUUUCAUUUUUAAUUUAGUCCUGCAAGUAUUAUCAAACUUGCACCACCUCCCCUAAUAGUAAAUAAUGUGAAUCAAUAGUUCAAUUAUGUUAAUCAAUAGUUAUAAUCAUGUGAAAAUACGAAUUACGGUAUAGUACCUCCAUCUAUACUUCCAUCUUUAAUUUAAUCAUGCAAGAAUUAUCAAUCUUGCACCAAUUCCCCUAAUAGUAUAAGAAUGUGAUUCAAUAGUACACACAUGUGAACAAAUAGUUAUAUAAGCAUGUGAAUUAGUAGCAAUUAAUUGAUCAUUUAUCCGAUAAAUUCCCUGAUUUAUCAAUAUAACCCCCAGACAUCAAUUAUCAUCUGAAUAGAUGUCGAUUACCACUAACAUUAAUAAUCCCAACACAAUGGAACUAUCAAAUUCAUCUUUAAUCAAUAUGAAAUUAUUCAUCAUUAAUAUUAUAACUCAUAAUAUUUAACAACCAGGUCGUUCUCAGGAAAGAGGGGGCUUUCCAAUAAGGAUUUCUCCCUAUUGGCGCGCAAUUAGGUGACCAAACCUCUCCUUGGCAGAAGUUCUAGACAUUAUAAAUAUUACAAUUUAAUAAUAUGAAUAACUUUAUCGUCUCAAUUAUUGAUUUAAUAAUAUAUCAUAUAGUGCAGAUGAUACUGUGACAAUAAUCGAAUCAAUAAUAUGAGAGAUAUGAUGCAAUAAUUACUGUAGCAAUAAUUAAGUAUAACUGAGUGACUUCUCACGUAAGCAUCAAUAACCAAUACCGUGUGCUACUAUGCAACCACGCGUAUUACUAUACUUUUACUACCGUGUAGUUCAACAGUUUUAACGAUAACACUUUCGCCUUUAUUUUUAUAACAAGAUAAUUCUGUCAUUUUCUUACUACGACAAUACUUCCGUUGUGGGGUCCACCAAUGAUUGUGCCGUCGUAUGAAUAUUCCCUGUUAAAACGAAUAUUCCCCGACCAAUCGAAUAUUAUAUAACCACUUGAUUACUUUGCAAAAUUUGUAAAUAUUACCCACAACUAUAACAUUAUAUAAUAUUCACACCAUAAUAUUCAAAAAUAUGUUUCGAGAGAAAUUAAUCUUUAUUCAUAAAAGUUGGGGUCUUACAACCUCCCCUUCUUAUGAAAUUUCGUCCUCGAAAUUAGGGUGUGUACCUGGUAUAUCGAAGAGGUGAGGAUAUCUUGACUUCAUCUCAGAUUCUAACUCCUAGGUCAUUUCUUCCACAUCGUGAUUUCUCCACAAAACUUUGACUUGAGGUAUAACCUUGGAGCAUAGAAUAUGAUCCUUCUUUUCCAAGAUUUUAACAAGUAACUCUUCAUACGUUAAAUCUUCCUCUAUCUCGUCUGGUUCUAAUUCAAUAAUGUGAUUCGGGUCUUUCACAUAUUUACGUAACAUAGAUAUGUGGAAAACGUUAUGAACAUGAGACAUACUUGGCGGUAAGGCGAGUCUAUAGGCCACAGUUCCUACUCGUUCGAGUAUUAUAAAUGGGCCAAUGAAUCGAGGAUUGAGUUUUUCUCUCUUUCCAAAUCUUGUAACUCCUUUCCAUGGAGCAACACGUAACAACACAUGAUCUCCAAUAUUGAAUUCCACGUCCUUUCGAUAAAGAUCAGCAUAACUCUUUUGUCGAUCUUGUGAGGUUUUUAUACGUUGUCGGAUUGUUUGAAUCUUUUCCGUAGUCAUACGUACCAAAUCCGGUCCCAACAACAUUGCUUCACCCACCUCAUCCCAACAUACUGGAGAACGACACUUUCUUCCAUAUAACGCCUCAAAUGGAGCCAUGCCAAUACUUGCUUGAUAACUAUUGUUGUAGGAAAACUCCACCAAUGGUAAGAACUUAUUCCAACUUCCCUUGAAGUCAAGGACACAUAGUCUUAAUAAAUCCUCAAGAGUUUGAAUAGUCCUCUCUGAUUGUCCGUCCGUUUGAGGAUGAUACGCCGAACUAAAUCGUAAAUUCGUGCCCAUAGCUUUUUGCAAACUAACCCAAAAUCUUGAAGUGAAUCUUGGGUCUCGAUCAGAAACUAUGGAUACUGGCAUACCAUGCAGUCUUACAAUCUCGUUUAUGUAUAUACGAGCAAGACGUUCAAAUGUAUAAGUUUCUCGUAUCGGUAAGAAAUGAGCAGACUUGGUCAAUCUAUCAACAAUGACCCAAAUCGCAUCUAUGCCUUGAGAAACCUUGGGAAGACCAGUAACGAAAUCCAUGGUAAUGUGCUCCCACUUCCAUUUUCAAGUGGUUGCAAUGGACCUUUUGGCACUUGAUGCUCCGCCUUGACUCGUUGACAAGUUAGACACCUUGAGAUAAACAGCGUUAUCUCUCUCUUCAUAUUGCUCCACCUAAAUGUAUGUCGAAGAUCACGAUACAUUUUGGUACUCCUAGGAUGGAUUGCAAACGGUGUGUUGUGCGCCUCCAUCAUGAUUUUAUACUUCAAAUCAGAAUCGUUAGGAACACAAAGUCUGGAGUUGACUCGAAGUAUUCCUUCUUCAUCGAUUCUUGCUUCCGGAAUAGCACCUUCUUGUACUUUUUUUCUCAUACGUAUCAGCUCUAGGUCUGUAGCUUGAGCAGCUUUAUCUUUAUCGAUUAAAGUUGGUUCCACUCGUAUAUUCGCCAUCAUCACAUGGGUCCCUGGAGUCUUUAACUCUAUUUCCAUCCUUUCCAAGUCAUACACAAUGGGCCUUUGCAUUGACAAUAAUUCACUCGUGCCCGCAUAUGAUCUUCUACUCAAUGCGUCAGCUACUACGUUCGUUUUUCCAGGAUGGUAUUGGAUGGUAUGAUCAUAAUCUUUCAACAACUCAAGUCAUCAUCGUUGUCGCAUGUUGAGUUCCUUUUGAGUGAAGAAAAUAUUUGAGGCUUUUAUGAUCCGUAUAGAUCUCCACCUUCUUUCCAUACAGGUAAUGCCUCCAAAUCUUAAGUGCGAAGACAACAGCUGCCAACUCUAGAUCAUGAGUAGGAUAAUUCUUCUUAUAUUCUUUGUCGUGAGGCAUAAGGUAUGACUUUCCCAUGUUUCAUGAGAACACAUCCUAACCCUUUACCUGAAACAUCACUGUAAAUGACAAAUCCCUCUGUGCUAGAUGGUAUUGUCAGAACAGGUACUGAAAUGAGUCUCCUCUUGAGUUCUUAAAAACUCUUCUCACAUUCCUCGCUCCAACUGAAUUUUGUAUCUUUUCGAGUCAGCUGCAUUAAUAGAGUAGCAAUUCAAGAAAACCCUUCUACGAAUCUCUGAUAAUAACCAGCUAAGCCGAGAAAGCUACGUACUUCAGUUACUUCAAUUACUGACUUAGGUUGCUCCCAACUUUGAAUUGCUUCAAUCUUUGCCAGGUCAACAAAUAUUCCAUGAUUUGAUAAUACGUGCCCAAGGAAUGCUACUUCCUCAAGCCAGAACUCGCAUUUCUUCAACUUGGCAUAUACCUUGUUUUCACGAAGCUUUUUAAGUAUCAGCCUCAAGUGUUGCUCAUGGUCUUCACGGGUUUUGGAAUAAAUGAGGAUGUCAUCAAUAAAGACGACCACAAAGUGAUCCAAAUAUUCCUUGAAUACUCGGUUCAUCAUAUCCAUGAAGGCAGCAGGAGCAUUAGUCAAUCCAAAAGACAUGACUAUGAAUUUAUAAUGCCCAUACCGAGUUCUGAAAGCAGUCUUUGGAAUGUCAUCAGUUUUAAUCUUCAACUGAUGAUAUUCAGAACGAAGAUCAAUAUUUGAAAAGAAUUUGGCGCCUUGCAACUGGUCAAACAGAUCAUCAAUACGAGGUAACGGGUACCUAUUUUUUAUGGUGAUAUAAUUCAACUCCCGAUAAUCAAUACAAAGUCGCAUACUUCCAUCUUUCUUCUUCACGAAUAGGACAGGAGCACCCCAAGGAGACGUACUAGGACGAAUGAAACCGAUGUCUAACAAUUCCUGUAGUUAGGUUUUUAACUCCUGAAGUUCAAUAGGAGUCAUUCGAUAUGGGGCUUUGAAAAUGGGUUUUGUACCGGUUUCAAGAUCGAUACAAAAUUCAAUUUCACGCUCUGGGGGUAGGCCAGGAAGUUCUUCAGGGAAUACGUCAGGAAAUUUAUUAACAAUAGAAAUAUCAUUCAAAUCUGACGUAUUUUUAUUUAAAUCCGUGACAUGGGCUAAGAAAGCUUGACAUCCGUUUUUCAAUAAACGAAUAGCUUUAUGGCUUGAUAUGACAGUGAUUGAUUUUAGUGGUUUGGCUGCUUGAAUUCGUAUAAUAGGUUGGUUAGGAAUAUGAAAGCUAACAACCUUACGAAAACAAUCGAUUUUAGCAUGAUGAAUAGUUAACCAAUCAAUCCCUAAAAUCACAUCAAAUGCAAGUAUUUUCAAAGAAAUAAGAUUGACAGAUAACGUGCGGUUACCGAUUUGAAUCAAACAAGACUUAUAAACAGUGGAUGUAAUGAAGGUUUCUCCCAACGGAGUUUCAACUGAUAAGUCAAGGUCUAAUUUCUCCGGAGUCAAAUUUAAACGUUGAGCGCAAGUAGGAGAAAUGAAAAAAUAGGUAGAACUAGUAUCAAAUAAAGUAUAAAUUUCGCUAGACUUUAUGAUUAACUUACCUGUGAUCACCUCGUUCGGAUUCCUCACUUUUUGGGAGGUCACGACAAACGCUCUUCCUUGAACUACCGAUUUUGUCUUGUCUGGGACCCCCUUUGAUGCCUCCAUCCCAGCUGGACUUGACUUUGGUACACGGCAAAAUCGGGCUAGGUAGCCUUCUUUUCCACAAUUAUAACAUGCUUUGGACUACAUCGUGCAGUUUGGACUUAUGUGUCCUUCCCCUCCACAUUUGUAACAUACGACCGGCGGUCGUUCUUCUUCCUUAACAGCGAGUGCUGGUGCUGACGUCUUUCAAUCUUUGCUGAACCUUCUCUUCUUGAACUUUCCACUCCUAUUGUCAUGGCAAUGAUUACCACCGAAGUGGUUAUCACUUCUGGCAAGUUGAUUCCCUCUGCGUUAUUCAUUGAAUCAUCCAUGGUCAUAACUAUACCGAAUAAUACCUGGUCAUAAUCAUACCAAAAAUUGUCCGUCAAUGCACUACAGGCUACUAAGGACUUUUACCACCUCAUUUAUAACAUUACAGGUCAUGAUUAUACCGAAUGAUCUCUAGUCAUAAUCAUACAAAGUCCAUCUAUGCACUUAAGCCAAAGAUAACUUUUAUCACAAUAUAAGCAUGAGGAUGAUGACAAUGACAUAAUAAUUCAAUAAAACAAGUUCAAGAAUAAAUUUUAAAGAUUUAUAAGUUAAUUUAGCAUGAACUCAAUAAUAUUCAAAUUGUCAACAUGAUACUUUUUUGUGGAGUAAAAAUUCAAGAAUGUUCAGAAGAAUAUUUUCAUUAAAAGAUACUGAAUGAAGUGCAAAUAUCAAAGAUAUUCCACUAAUUUCAUGGAGUAUAGAAGUUAAAGCUUUAACCAACUAAGUAUAAGAGAAUAUAUGAAACUACAAAUGGAUUUUCGGCCGCCACGCGGUACUCCACUUAGACUGAUCAUUUUCAUAAUUUAAUAAGGAAUGAAUACAAAGGUUCAUUCACCAUGCAUGUGAUAAUCCACAUAGACAGGUUAUUCCAACAGAAUGAUAAAUAAUGGAAUAACAGAAGAAAUCAUUAUGCAUGCGAUAGACCGCACAGACAGGUUAUUCCGACAGAAUAAUAAAUAAUGGAACCAGGUCCGGCGUAAACGCACAGACAGGAUAUUCCGACAGAAUAAUAAAUGAUGGAACCAGGUCCGGCGUAAACGCACAGACAGGAUAUUCCGACAGAAUAAUAAAUGAUGGAACCAGGUCCGGCGUAAACGCACAGACAGGAUAUUCCGACAGAGUAAUAAAGAACGGAAUAAUAUAAAAAUUUCACCAUGUAUACGGUACUUCGUAUAAACAGGUUAUUACAACAUAAUAAUAAAUAAUGGAAUAACAGAAGAAUUUCAUCAGAUUAUUCAAUAAGGAUUUCUACCUAUUGGCGCGCAAUUAGGUGACCAACCUCUCCUUGGCAGAACUUCUAGACAUUAUAAAUAUUAUAAUUUAAUAAUAUGAAUAACUUUGUCGUCUCAAUUAUUGAUUUAAUAAUAUAUCAUAUAAUGCAGAUGAUACUGUGACAAUAAUCGAAUCAAUAAUAUGAGAGAUAUGAUGCAACAAUUACUGUAGCAAUAAUUGAAUAUAACUGAGUGACUUCUCAUGUAAGCAUCAAUAACCAAUACCGUGUGCUACUAUAUAACCACGCGUAUAACUGUACUUUUACUACCGGAUAGUUCAACAGUUUUAACAGUAACACUUUCGCCGUUAUUUUUAUAACACGAUAAUUCUAUCGUUUUCUUACUACGAUAAUACUUCCGUUGUGGAGUCCACCAAUGAUUGUGCCGUCGUACGAAUAUUCCCUGUUAAAACGAAUAUUCUCCGACCAAUCGAAUAUUAUAUAACCACUUGCUUACUUUGUAAAAUUUAUAAAUAUUACCCAAAACUAUAACAUUAUAUCAUAUCCACACCAUAAUAUUCAAAAAUAUAUUUUGAGAGAAAUUAAUUUUUAUUCAUAAAAGUUGGGGUCUUACAAUAUUUAGUCUAGGACGCCAAAAUCGCUCCAGCAGAUGGACUAUAUUUAGUCGAUCAACUUUUUCGGCCGCUCAAAACGACCAAAUCUGCGAACGAAAAAUCAGCCAGACUAUAAUUUAAUAUAAUUAAAUGGAAAACUCUCUGUUAAAGAAAUUGAAGAAAAAAAAUAAGAAAAACUCUGUUGAAGAAGAUCUGUCGAAGAAGAAGGAGAUGAAGUGAGAGAACUGAAAGUGAAGUGAAGAAGAGAUGAACGGUAAUAAAGUACAAUCCAACGGAUAGAAAAAAAAAAUUCAGAACGGUAAUAAAGAGUACAAACGGAUAGAAAUUGAAAGCCUAAUUGGAAAUCUAUAAAUAUGUAUAAUAAUUCAAUUUAUUUUAUAUCUUUCAAUCAACUACUCCAACAUUUAGCAAUUGUAAGUAUUUUAUUAAUAAUAGUUUAUAUUUUUAUUAUAUUUGAUUUUUGUUUUUUAUUGAUAAUAUCUCUUUAAUUUAUUUUUUAGAUAAAAAAUUAUGAUCCUCCGAUGUAUUAUUCUUCAUUAUUAUCUGAAGGUUUCUCACUUGAUGAUCCAAAUUUGUUGGAUGAAUUUUCAAUUCAAAUUGAUGUACCAAUUCAGACUCCCAAAAAUGAGUCCAAUAAAAGAACAGGGCAAAAGAGAAAUUACACAAUUGAAGAAGAUGCUCUUCUUGUUUUCGAAUGGCUUAAUGUAAGUAUGGAUCCAAUUCAAGGAAACGAUCAAAAACAUGAAAGAUAUUGGGAAAGAGUUCACAAAUACAAAAAUUUUGAAUCUAAACGUAAUUCUACUGCUUUGGCGAAACGUUGGUCAACAAUUCAACUCGUGGUGAACAAAUUUUAUGGAUAUUAUGCUUCAAUUGAAAGAAUGCAACAAAGCGGUGUAAGCGAACAAGAUAAGGUAUUUCAAUUUUUUCAUAUAAAAUUUCAUUAAGUUUUAUUCUUAUAUUUUAUAUUUAAUACUUUGUAAAUAAUUUUUCAAUAGAUAUGUCAAGCAUUAGAGAUGUUCAAAAGUAUGCAAAAUCAACCAUUUGAAUUUAUGCAUUGUUGGAGAAUAUUAAAAGAUGCACCGAAAUAGAGAACAGAUAAUAGUAGAAAAAAAUAGAAAAAUAAUAGAAAGUCAAGUCCAACAGCAUCUUCUCCAUCAACUACAGAAGAAGUCAGUUUGGGUAAAGACGAUGGUAUUGAAGAUACAAUCUCUGCAAGAUUAGAGAGACCAAUAGGAAAAAAGGCUUCAAAAGCAUUAUUUAAAAAGGGCAAAGAAAUCGGUGAUACUAGUACACCUAUGGAGUUGAUGUUUGAGAAGUUCGAGCAUCAGAUUAAAUUGAACCAACAAAAGAGACAAGAGAACAUGGACAGAAUAUAUUUUCAAGAGCAAGAGAAGUUGAAUAUACUAAAAGCACAAGAAAAUGAAAGGAUCAUGAUGAUUGACACUGCUAACAUGGAGCUUAAAGUAGCUAAAUAUUACAAACAACGUAAGAAAGAAAUCAUGAAAAGAGUUACAUCUAAUAAUUGACUGGCUUAUUAUUGUAGUAGAAUAUAAUAGAGCCUGAAGUAGCUUAAUUUCCUUAUUAUUGUAGUAGAAUGUAAUGGAUUAGGCUCGGCCAUGUAGUGACCACAAGUGUUGAAUAAUAUCUUCUUGCAGUUUAGAAUGAACUUGUUUAUCCCUUAUGAAAGUAAUUGUGGGGUACGCUCAUGAGACACUUCUACAGUUGAAAUCUCGUCAUGUGUAUCGUAGGUUGUUGGUUCUUGAUUUUCAUCUCGUUCAUCUUCAACUAUCAUAUUAUGUAAUAUUAUGCAUACAGUCAUAAUUUCUUUUAGUGUUGUUUAAUCCCAAAAUCGUGCAGGACCACGAACUAUCACAAAACGUGCUUGCAGUACCCCAAAUGCUCGCUCAACAUCCUUUCUAAGCGCCUCUUGAGUCUUAGCAAAUAGUUUUCUUUUAUUUCCCUAAAGUGCCAAAAUGAUUUUAACAAAUAUUGUCCAUGGGGAAUAUAUACCAUCAACAAGAUAAUAUCCCAUCGUGUACUCAUUUUCAUUAAUUGAGUAGCUCACUGGUGGAGCACGACCUUCAGUAAGAGCAGAAAAGAUAGAUGAUCUCUCCAAAACGUUAAUAUCAUUAUGAGAGCUUGGUAAUCCAAAAAAUGCAUGUCAUAUCCAAAGAUCGUAUGAAACCACCGCUUCUAAAAUAAUUGUUGGCUCGUGCACAUAUCCAAAAUACAUAUCAUGCCAUGCAACUAGACAAUUCUUCCAUUUCUAAUGCAUACAAUCGAUGCUCCCCAACAUCCUAAGAAAACCACGCUCUUCAACUUUUGAUAGCAAUCUAACGAUGUCAUUACUAUUGGGUAAUCUCAAAUAUUCAUCACCAAAAAUUGAAAUGAAUGCUUUUACAAACCUUUUAAGACUCAAUAUAGCCAUGCUUUCACUGAUUCGCACAUAAUCAACGGAAUCCGCUGAAACACCAUAGGCAAACAUCCGUAUUGAGACAGUUAUCUUUUGUAGAGAAGAUAAACCGAGAUGUCCUGCAGCAUUCAUUUUUAGUACGAAAUAUGAAUUAUACGCUUCAACUGCUCUUUGAAUUCAGAAGAAAAACAGACACCACAUUCUAAACCUUCUCCAAAAUAGAUACCGAGGAGGGGGGUAUGUAGAAUUUUCUACAAAAUAAUCACAAAAAAAUCGAUUAUGACCUUCAUGUCUACCACGAUCAAUGAUAAUACAACCUUACACAGAACCACGAUGACGUAAUGUAUACCUAUUGACAUUUUUUUUUUCUUCUACAAUAACCAACAUGCCUAAUAAUUGUCCAUAUACUUUUUCAUCUUCUUCUUCAUCCACGUGCAACAUAACUAAUUCAAAUUAACAAGACAUUUAAAAUAACUUAUUUGACUGAAAAAAUAAAAUUAAAAUGAAUAAAUAUGAAAGAUUAGAUGCGACAUAUAUUUUAUAAAUACUAUUUAUUUAUUAAAAUAUAACCAUUAUAAUAUGACCGUUAAAAUAUGACCAUUAAAAUAUAGUCGUUGAAUUAUGCCCGUCAAAAUUUUUUUGAAUUAAUUGAUUAUUUUAAUUAUUUUAUAUUAUAAUCGACGAGAUAAUCCACAAGAUAGUCCAUCUGUUAAAAAAGAGCGAAGACUAAAAAACAUUUGCUAAUAUCAGAUAGACUAAAUAUAGUCCAGCAGAUCUAUCUAUUGGAGAUGCUCUAAACAGAAAUAGAUCAUAACUACAGUGAAGUUUAUCGGAUAUGCUUAGAUAUGGAGUAUGCAAGAAUUUAUGACAUCUAAUGUACUCAGAAAAAGGAUUUAACUAGCACAACUUUGCAGAAUUGUAACCCAACUCAGCGGCUUUAUCAUAAAAGUUUUGACAAAAAAAUAACCCACAACAGUUUAAAAUGAUAAUUGAGAAGAAAUAAAUGUCUAGCAUAGGAAGUUUUGAACUAUCAGCUCCAGCCAAAAACCAAAUAUAACUCAACACAUACAAGCAGUGAGUAAUCAAUCUUACUCAUGACAAAAAAUGAGAAGUGAUUUCAGCCAGUCCCAACACAAUAAACAAAGUAUACCAUUUAUGGACAGAAUAGAUGAGAUAGAGAAUAUACCUGAAAGAACAAUAUACAUUUAAAUAUACAUACAGAUUUUAAACAAUGUAUAGAUAUGCAUGUACAAAUACUUUAAUUACUUAAAAUACAUUCGUGUUUAAAAAAAACUGUAGAUAAGAAAUUUGUUGUUUUUGAAAGAAAUUUUAAUAUACUCUAAAAAAAUUACAAAUCUAGUCACGAAAAUUAGGAUUUAAACAGUUGUCACAAUCGUUGUUAAAAAAAUGAUUUGUUAGAUUAGAACUCAGAUCUUGAGCACUAAAUCUAACUAAAUUUGUUUAUCUGAAAACUCAUUUAAUCAAAAUGAACAACGAAACUUAACAGAUGAGAACGUUAAGAGUUUUCAGAUCUACAAACUUAGGGUUUUCCCCUUUUUAAAAAAAAAAUUGACACAAAUUAACACCAAAUACUGGUUUUUGAAAAAUAGAUUUUGAGAUAUAAAACUAUCCAUACUUAUUAAAAAAAAAAUCAGAGAAAGCCAACGGACAAAAAUGAACUGCAGAGAAAAACAAAAAGUAGAAUCAAACAAAUAAUUAGUAGAAGUAUGAUUUUGAGGGUGAUGAAUCGAUUGAUAGGAGCAGAUUAAUCGAAAUUGAAAUAAAAAUCAAGGACUUUUUACAGAGAACAGGGUUAGGGUUGAGAGAAUUUUGGGGAGAGAGAAAUGAGAUCCGGAAGAUAACAGAGAAGAGGAAGAGAAAUGAAAUUAAAAAU
This 13920-nucleotide long non-coding RNA is filed under the name Panax ginseng (ginseng). RNAcentral's name for it is "long non-coding RNA (PGIN_LNC011748)". The record is from RNAcentral. Lineage: Eukaryota; Viridiplantae; Streptophyta; Magnoliopsida; Apiales; Araliaceae.